Molecule: long non-coding RNA, 1748 nt
Organism: Tribolium castaneum (red flour beetle)
Lineage: Eukaryota; Metazoa; Arthropoda; Insecta; Coleoptera; Tenebrionidae
Exons: 2
Source: RefSeq, a predicted model, not a curated record
UCUUCACAAGCACAAAGUAAUAAAUUUUUAUUUAAUUCACACUGAUGUAACUAGUACUGAAGAUGUGGUUAAACAGAAUGAAAUUUUAAGCUUAUGUCGUGGUUUAUAUUGAAUAAAUGUAGGGUUUGAAGGGUACGGGGUUAAUUUCACUUAGAAUUAUUAUGUCAAAAUCUAAAAAUAACCAUGGUAUUAUUAUGCAACAAACAAUAGCGGUGAUUCGUCGAUCCAAGAAUAGACAUGAUAUCAUGGUCCUUCGAUGGUGGUGACUCAUUGAUCUUAAAAUAACCAUGUCAUCACAUAAUUCAACAAAAGCAAUUACGUCAGGGAUUCCCUGAAAGAAGCGGUGAUAUCAUGAUCUAAAAAUAGCCAUGACAUCAUCGUAAUUUUAUCAUGUGGUUCUCACAAUUUGUAUUCAGGAAUUAUUAUUUAAAUGUAACUUAAGACUGAAAGCUAGUCGUUGCUAUCAAAAGGAAUGCGAUUGAAGUAAACAUAUGCCGCCACCUACGCCCACGCUGCGGCCGCUUGCAUCUUCAUCGCAUGUCUGCUGCUGGAUACACCUCUAUGCAGUUGCAACUUAUGCGAUCCUGAUACCAUCUCUUAAACUUUCUUCAUUGAAUGAAUCAAAUUUAGGAAACCAAUAGAUGUGAAGAUCAUGUCAUAGCCCAAAAUUUUAAUACCAUACAUGAUACAACAAUACUGAUGACUCAUCAAUCCGGAAAUAUCUAUGAUGUCAUAAUCUAAAUGCAGCCAUGACCUCAUGAUCCAAAAAUUGCAAUGCCAGGAGGGUAAUCCCAUAAUUUUCAAUGUGUGAUUCCCCACGAGAUUUCCAUCCUGACAUUAUGAUUCAAAAAUAACCAUGACAUCAUUAUACAAAAAUAGCACUGACAUCAGGGUAAUCACAUAAUUUUCAAUGCGAGAUUCUCCAAAGUGACGCACGCGCAGACAAAAACAAGCUAUGACAAAAUAAAAUUGACCUAUGAAAUUGGCGGGUUGUCAUCCCUUCCAUUUCAAGUUUGCGUUUACUAAAUAAGUUUCAAUUCUUAUUGGAUGAAUUUUGAGAGGUGGAGCAAAUUAAAGGCAACAAGGGUAAAUUGUAAAUUCUCAUCUUUUUCUAAUAUAGCUUCUUUGUCACAAAACUUCCUAUAUAAACAUAUGGAAACUUCUGCAGAUUUUAUCUUAAGUUAAAUACGAGUUCUUUUCGAGUGACUUAAGUUAGACCUUUAAAAAGAUGAAUAGUCCAAUAAGAAAACCAUCAGCCAGCUUAUGCACUGAGGAUAUGGUGACAUGUCCCUAUAAUAACCUACAUAGGCUAGUAUGGCAUAGGAUGGCCAAACACAUUUUUAAGUGUCACAGAGAAGAGGACGCAAAAAGAAAAAGAGAAUCCGAAAAUAAACAAAACGUAGAUCAGACAGAAAGUUGGGAUAACGAAAAUUAUCUUAAUAAAAAUAAACAAAACGCCGAAGAUCAGGAAGAAAGUUGGGAUAACGAAAAUUAUCUGACUGAAAAUAAACAAAACGCAGAAGACCAAGAAGCAAGUUGGACUAACGAAAAUUAUCUAACUGAAAAUAAGCAAAACGUUAACGAUCAGGAUGAAAGUUGGGAUAAUGACGAUUAUCUGAUUGAAAAUAAACAAAAUUCCGAAAAUGAAGAGGAAUGUUGGGAUAACGAAAGUUAUCUUAUGUAUUAAUACAGUAUAAUUGUGGAACUGUGAAAUAAAUAAGCUAGCAAAUAAGAAAGCAUUUAUAAAA